RNAcentral lists this ribosomal RNA (492 nucleotides) under uncultured bacterium. RNAcentral's name for it is "partial 16S ribosomal RNA". It matches the Rfam family "Bacterial small subunit ribosomal RNA", at positions 28 to 507 of the family's 1533-position model. The record is from RNAcentral.
GAUGAACGCUAGCUACAGGCUUAACACAUGCAAGUCGAGGGGAAACGCCAUCGAAAGCUUGCUUUUGAUGGGCGUCGACCGGCGCACGGGUGAGUAACGCGUAUCCAACCUGCCCAUCACUUGGGGAUAACCUUGCGAAAGUAAGACUAAUACCCAAUGAUAUCUCUAGAAGACAUCUGAAAGAGAUUAAAGAUUUAUCGGUGAUGGAUGGGGAUGCGUCUGAUUAGCUUGUUGGCGGGGUAACGGCCCACCAAGGCAACGAUCAGUAGGGGUUCUGAGAGGAAGGUCCCCCAGAUUGGAACUGAGACACGGUCCAAACGCCUACGGGAGGCAGCAGUGAGGAAUAGUGGUCAAUGGGCGAGAGCCUGAACCAGCCAAGUAGCGUGCAGGAAGACGGCCCUAUGGGUUGUAAACUGCUUUUAUAAGGGAAUAAAGUGAGAGUCGUGACUCUUUUUGUAUGUACCUUAUGAAUAAGGACCGGCUAAUUCCGUG